UACUAGAGUAGCACUCGCAUAUCAAUAAGCGGAGGAAAAGAAACUAACAAGGAUUCCCCUAGUAACGGCGAGUGAAGCGGGAAGAGCUCAAAUUUGAAAUCUUAAAGGGUUUCCCUUUACGAAUUGUAGUUUAAAGAAGUGUUUUCUGUUGAGGUUUUGGUAAAAGUUCUUUGGAAUAGGACAUCAUAGAGGGUGAGAAUCCCGUAUUUGACCUUUACUUUCAACUUUGUGAUACACUUUCAGAGAGUCGGAUUGUUUGGGAAUGCAGUCCAAAAUGGGUGGUAAAUUUCAUCUAAAGCUAAAUAUUGGCGAGAGACCGAUAGCGAACAAGUACCGUGAGGGAAAGAUGAAAAGAACUUUGAAAAGAGAGUUAAACAGUACGUGAAAUUGUCAAAAGGGAAGCGUUUGACACCAGUGUUGUUUUUCUGAAAAUCAAUUAAAGAACUGUUUAUGCUAAGCUGUCUAGACUUUAUCAGCUAAUCUGUUUAGUUUUGAGCUUUUCUUUAAUGCACUUUUCAGUUAACAAGUCAACAUCAAUUUCUUUUGCUGUAAAAAAGCUUGAGGAAGGUGGCUUGAGAUUCGUCUUAAGUGUUUAUAGCCUCUUGCCUAUGCAGUCGGAGAGAUUGAGGUCUGCAGCGUAGAUCCUUCGGGGCUAAAUGCAUUUGUGCUAAGUUAUAGCAUUUUAUAGACAACUUGUUGACUAUGAUUUGUCUUGUAGCUUACUCGCUUAUGUUAUUUUACCUACGCUUAGGAUGUUGAGCGCAUGUCUCUCUCU
This 775-nucleotide ribosomal RNA is filed under the name uncultured Neocallimastigales. RNAcentral's name for it is "partial large subunit ribosomal RNA". It matches the Rfam family "Eukaryotic large subunit ribosomal RNA", at positions 20 to 616 of the family's 3401-position model. Lineage: Eukaryota; Fungi; Neocallimastigomycota; Neocallimastigomycetes; Neocallimastigales. The record is from RNAcentral.